Molecule: transfer RNA, 69 nt
Filed under: Planctomycetota bacterium
Lineage: Bacteria; Pseudomonadati; Planctomycetota
Description: Planctomycetes bacterium (subsurface metagenome) tRNA-Met
Source: RNAcentral
GCCGGCGGUGCUCAGAGCAGGCCGUCUCUCAUAAGGACGCGCAGGAGGGUGCGACUCCCUCCGUCGGCA